Molecule: ribosomal RNA, 1152 nt
Filed under: Escherichia coli
Lineage: Bacteria; Pseudomonadati; Pseudomonadota; Gammaproteobacteria; Enterobacterales; Enterobacteriaceae
Description: partial 23S ribosomal RNA
Rfam family: Bacterial large subunit ribosomal RNA
Source: RNAcentral
GGUUAAGCGACUAAGCGUACACGGUGGAUGCCCUGGCAGUCAGAGGCGAUGAAGGACGUGCUAAUCUGCGAUAAGCGUCGGUAAGGUGAUAUGAACCGUUAUAACCGGCGAUUUCCGAAUGGGGAAACCCAGUGUGUUUCGACACACUAUCAUUAACUGAAUCCAUAGGUUAAUGAGGCGAACCGGGGGAACUGAAACAUCUAAGUACCCCGAGGAAAAGAAAUCAACCGAGAUUCCCCCAGUAGCGGCGAGCGAACGGGGAGCAGCCCAGAGCCUGAAUCAGUGUGUGUGUUAGUGGAAGCGUCUGGAAAGGCGCGCGAUACAGGGUGACAGCCCCGUACACAAAAAUGCACAUACUGUGAGCUCGAUGAGUAGGGCGGGACACGUGGUAUCCUGUCUGAAUAUGGGGGGACCAUCCUCCAAGGCUAAAUACUCCUGACUGACCGAUAGUGAACCAGUACCGUGAGGGAAAGGCGAAAAGAACCCCGGCGAGGGGAGUGAAAAAGAACCUGAAACCGUGUACGUACAAGCAGUGGGAGCCUCUUUUAUGGGGUGACUGCGUACCUUUUGUAUAAUGGGUCAGCGACUUAUAUUCUGUAGCAAGGUUAACCGAAUAGGGGAGCCGAAGGGAAACCGAGUCUUAACUGGGCGUUAAGUUGCAGGGUAUAGACCCGAAACCCGGUGAUCUAGCCAUGGGCAGGUUGAAGGUUGGGUAACACUAACUGGAGGACCGAACCGACUAAUGUUGAAAAAUUAGCGGAUGACUUGUGGCUGGGGGUGAAAGGCCAAUCAAACCGGGAGAUAGCUGGUUCUCCCCGAAAGCUAUUUAGGUAGCGCCUCGUGAAUUCAUCUCCGGGGGUAGAGCACUGUUUCGGCAAGGGGGUCAUCCCGACUUACCAACCCGAUGCAAACUGCGAAUACCGGAGAAUGUUAUCACGGGAGACACACGGCGGGUGCUAACGUCCGUCGUGAAGAGGGAAACAACCCAGACCGCCAGCUAAGGUCCCAAAGUCAUGGUUAAGUGGGAAACGAUGUGGGAAGGCCCAGACAGCCAGGAUGUUGGCUUAGAAGCAGCCAUCAUUUAAAGAAAGCGUAAUAGCUCACUGGUCGAGUCGGCCUGCGCGGAAGAUGUAACGGGGCUAAACCAUGCAC